AGAGUUUGAUCCUGGCUCAGAUUGAACGCUGGCGGCAUGCCUUACACAUGCAAGUCGAACGGUAACGGGCCUUCGGGUGCCGACGAGUGGCGAACGGGUGAGUAAUGCAUCGGAACGUACCUUUCAGUGGGGGAUAACGUAGCGAAAGUUACGCUAAUACCGCAUAUUCUGUGAGCAGGAAAGCAGAGGAUCGCAAGACCUUGCGCUGAUUGAGCGGCCGAUGUCAGAUUAGCUAGUUGGUGAGGUAAAGGCUCACCAAGGCGACGAUCUGUAGCGGGUCUGAGAGGAUGAUCCGCCGCACUGGAACUGAGACACGGUCCAGACUCCUACGGGAGGCAGCAGUGGGGAAUUUUUGGACAAUGGGGGCAACCCUGAUCCAGCCAUGCCGCGUGAGUGAAGAAGGCCUUCGGGUUGUAAAGCUCUUUCGGCCGGGAAGAAAUCGCAUGGGUUAAUACCCUGUGCGGAUGACGGUACCGGCAUAAGAAGCACCGGCUAACUACGUG
This 503-nucleotide ribosomal RNA is filed under the name uncultured bacterium. RNAcentral describes it as "bacterial SSU rRNA". It matches the Rfam family "Bacterial small subunit ribosomal RNA", at positions 8 to 507 of the family's 1533-position model. The record is from RNAcentral.